GCGUUAAUCGGAAUUACUGGGCGUAAAGGGCGCGUAGGCGGCCACUGCAAGUCGGUUGUGAAAUCUCCGGGCUUAACCCGGAAAGGUCAAUCGAUACUGCAGGGCUAGAGUGCGGAAGGGGCAACUGGAAUUCUCGGUGUAGCGGUGAAAUGCGUAGAUAUCGAGAGGAACACCUGCGGCGAAGGCGGGUUGCUGGGCCGACACUGACGCUGAGGCGCGAAAGCUAGGGGAGCAAACGGG
This 240-nucleotide ribosomal RNA is filed under the name uncultured bacterium. RNAcentral's name for it is "partial 16S ribosomal RNA". It matches the Rfam family "Bacterial small subunit ribosomal RNA", at positions 538 to 776 of the family's 1533-position model. The record is from RNAcentral.